GUUUGAUCCUGGCUCAGAUUGAACGCUGGCGGCAUGCCUUACACAUGCAAGUCGAACGGUAACGCGGGGCAACCUGGCGACGAGUGGCGAACGGGUGAGUAAUACAUCGGAACGUGCCCAGUAGUGGGGGAUAGCCCGGCGAAAGCCGGAUUAAUACCGCAUACGACCUACGGGUGAAAGCGGGGGAUCGCAAGACCUCGCGCUAUUGGAGCGGCCGAUGUCAGAUUAGCUAGUUGGUGGGGUAAAAGCCUACCAAGGCGACGAUCUGUAGCUGGUCUGAGAGGACGACCAGCCACACUGGGACUGAGACACGGCCCAGACUCCUACGGGAGGCAGCAGUGGGGAAUUUUGGACAAUGGGGGCAACCCUGAUCCAGCCAUGCCGCGUGCGGGAAGAAGGCCUUCGGGUUGUAAACCGCUUUUGUCAGGGAAGAAACGGUCUGCGCUAAUACCGCGGACUAAUACGGUACCUGAAGAAUAAGCACCGGCUAACUACGUGCCAGCAGCCGCGGUAAUACGUAGGGUGCAAGCGUUAAUCGGAAUUACUGGGCGUAAGGCGUGCGCAGGCGGCUUUGCAAGACAGAUGUGAAAUCCCCGGGCUCAACCUGGGAACUGCAUUUGUGACUGCAUGGCUAGAGUGCGGCAGAGGGGGAUGGAAUUCCGCGUGUAGCAGUGAAAUGCGUAGAUAUGCGGAGGAACACCGAUGGCGAAGGCAAUCCCCUGGGCCUGCACUGACGCUCAUGCACGAAAGCGUGGGGAGCAAACAGGAUUAGAUACCCUGGUAGUCCACGCCCUAAACGAUGCCAACUGGUUGUUGGACGGCUUGCUGUUCAGUAACGAAGCUAACGCGUGAAGUUGACCGCCUGGGGAGUACGGCCGCAAGGUUGAAACUCAAAGGAAAUGACGGGGACCCGCACAAGCGGUGGAUGAUGUGGUUUAAUUCGAUGCAACGCGAAAAACCUUACCUACCCUUGACAUGCCAGGAACUUGCCAGAGAUGGCUUGGUGCUCGAAAGAGAACCUGGACACAGGUGCUGCUUGGCCGUCAUCAGCUCGUGUCGUGAGAUGUUGGGUUAAGUCCCGCAACGAGCGCAACCCUUAUCAUUAGUUGCUACGCAAGGGCACUCUAAUGAGACUGCCGGUGACAAACCGGAGGAAGGUGGGGAUGACGUCAGGUCAUCAUGGCCCUUAUGGGUAGGGCUACACACGUCAUACAAUGGCCGGUACAGAGGGCUGCCAACCCGCGAGGGGGAGCUAAUCUCAGAAAACCGGUCGUAGUCCGGAUCGCAGUCUGCAACUCGACUGCGUGAAGUCGGAAUCGCUAGUAAUCGCGGAUCAGCUUGCCGCGGUGAAUACGUUCCCGGGUCUUGUACACACCGCCCGUCACACCAUGGGAGCGGGUUCUGCCAGAAGUAGUUAGC
This 1419-nucleotide ribosomal RNA is filed under the name metagenome. RNAcentral describes it as "bacterial SSU rRNA". It matches the Rfam family "Bacterial small subunit ribosomal RNA". The record is from RNAcentral.